Molecule: non-coding RNA, 1416 nt
Organism: Cinara cedri
Lineage: Eukaryota; Metazoa; Arthropoda; Insecta; Hemiptera; Aphididae
Source: the annotation of a GenBank genome assembly
UAUAAAUAUAUUAGUUUUCUCAUUAUAAAUAAUUGUGAACCCAUGGGCCCCAACGUGAACCAGUUCAGUAGUGCCCAUUAAGAUAACACUGUUGAUCAUCGCGUAUCGGAGAGCCAAUCCGAGCACAAUGAUAUUUUAUGAAUUUGAAUUGUGCAAUAGUCGUAUUUAAAUUGUAUAUUUUGCUGUGUUAUACCGUGAAUAAAUUGUGUCCAGACUUUUUAGGUGGUUCAACUAUAUAGAACUCCAUAUAAAAUAUUCACAAACUUCAGACUUGUGCACGCGCAGUUGAAAAUACUUGCAAAAAUACGAAUCGCACGUAAUAUGAAUCAUUUACUAUUAUUGCCUAGGUACACUGCAUAUUAUCUCAAGUUCGUGCACGUAUAUUUUGAGACUAUCGGAACACCAUUGACCAUUAUGCUCCAAUCGAAACUCUCAACUACGUUAUUGGUGUACCGUGGUGAUUUCACAAGAGAGACGUAAUUGAUAAUACAAAUAAAACGUAAUCAUUCGUAUUCAUAGUACAGAGUCGCGGUUUUUGGCGGGUUCCGUAUGACGAUAAUAUUAUUAUUACUACUUACACGUUAUUGUCCGACCUUGUACUUUCUCCGCUUUCGUCUCCUGGCACUAGAUAACAAAACUGCUGCACGUGAUCCCGUUAUACUACGCCGUCAUCGUGACCGCAAAACAUUCUUAACCCGACGCGCACCAUCAUAAUAUUAUUAUAGCUUCGCCGGUUGAUACCAAAACGUGAAAUUCACAGAAACCAGUCAGUAAAGAAUUUUUGAAAAAACGCCGUAUCACCGUCAUAAUAAUAUUAUCGUCGUAUCAGGCCUGUAGCCAUCACCGAAAUCGGGCUUAAAUCUUUUCGAAAACGUUUAAUUGUUAUAGGACCAGUGGCGUAACUAAGGAAUCAACUAAGGAUCAGAGGGUUCUGUCAGACGAACCACCCCGGUUCGUUCAUCCGGGGCCCGAAGUAUUGAGACGUUUUUCUUUUGACUGUUAAACUAUUCGUUUUAUACGUGUGUUGGUAAUUGAUUAUCGAUUGUAAUAAUUCAAAAUUAUUAUUAUUUUUGUAGCCUGUACGAGUGUGAAUAUUAUAAUUUGGUAUCGACGAAUAUUCUUUGUCUAUAAACCUUGGGGUUUUAUUCCUAGCAUAUAUUUAUUUAUUAAUGACACGAAUUGUGUUUAUGAAAAAAAAGGAGCCAAAGUCACGCCGACUUGGUCAAACCGAUAUGAAUGGCCAAACACAUGAUAUUUUAUGUAUAUUUUUUUGUGCUAUAUAUAUUUUAGUGCUAUUUAUGUGGGUGUAUCUCGAUAAUUUAUACAACUACAAGAAAUAGAUAGGACCAAAUUCGUACACAAAAUUAAUAUUAAUGCUAUUUCAAAAGUUCAUUAACGAAAAAUGAUUAAAAGCGA